RNAcentral lists this ribosomal RNA (253 nucleotides) under uncultured bacterium. Its description in RNAcentral is "partial 16S ribosomal RNA". It matches the Rfam family "Bacterial small subunit ribosomal RNA", at positions 524 to 776 of the family's 1533-position model. The record is from RNAcentral.
GACAGAGGUCCCAAGCGUUAGGCGGAAUCACUGGGCUUAAAGCGUGUGUAGGCGGAGUGCUAAGUACCUUGUGAAAUCCCACGGCUCACCCGUGGAACUGCUUGGUAUACUGGUUCUCUUGAGCCACCUAGGGGCGAGCGGAACAAGUGGUGGAGCGGUGAAAUGCGCAGAUAUCAGGAGGAACACCAAUGGCGAAGGCAGCUCGCUGGGACGGUACUGACGCUGAGACGCGAAAGCGUGGGGAGCAAACAGG